Molecule: ribosomal RNA, 831 nt
Filed under: uncultured bacterium
Lineage: Bacteria
Description: bacterial SSU rRNA
Rfam family: Bacterial small subunit ribosomal RNA
Source: RNAcentral
AGAGUUUGAUCCUGGCUCAGGAUGAACGCUGGCGGCGUGCCUAAUACAUGCAAGUCGAACGCUUUGUGCUUAAUUGAUAUGACGAGCUUGCUCUGAUUUGAUUUUUUGAUUUCAAAGAGUGGCGAACGGGUGAGUAACACGUGGGUAACCUACCUCUUAGCAGGGGAUAACAUUUGGAAACAAGUGCUAAUACCGUAUAAUACCAGCAACCGCAUGGUUGUUGGUUGAAAGAUGGUUCUGCUAUCACUAAGAGAUGGACCCGCGGUGCAUUAGCUAGUUGGUAAGGUAAUGGCUUACCAAGGCAAUGAUGCAUAGCCGAGUUGAGAGACUGAUCGGCCACAAUGGGACUGAGACACGGCCCAUACUCCUACGGGAGGCAGCAGUAGGGAAUCUUCCACAAUGGGCGCAAGCCUGAUGGAGCAACGCCGCGUGUGUGAUGAAGGGUUUCGGCUCGUAAAACACUGUUAUAAGAGAAGAACGGCACUGAGAGUAACUGUUCAGUGUGUGACGGUAUCUUACCAGAAAGGAACGGCUAAAUACGUGCCAGCAGCCGCGGUAAUACGUAUGUUCCAAGCGUUAUCCGGAUUUAUUGGGCGUAAAGCGAGCGCAGACGGUUAUUAAGUCUGAAGUGAAAGCCCUCAGCUCAACUGAGGAAUUGCUUUGGAAACUGGAUGACUUGAGUGCAGUAGAGGAAAGUGGAACUCCAUGUGUAGCGGUGAAAUGCGUAGAUAUAUGGAAGAACACCAGUGGCGAAGGCGGCUUUCUGGACUGUAACUGACGUUGAGGCUCGAAAGUGUGGGUAGCAAACAGGAUUAGAUACCCUGGUAGUCC